This 2057-nucleotide ribosomal RNA is filed under the name Acinetobacter sp. MDS7A. RNAcentral describes it as "bacterial LSU rRNA". It matches the Rfam family "Bacterial large subunit ribosomal RNA", at positions 14 to 2106 of the family's 2925-position model. Lineage: Bacteria; Pseudomonadati; Pseudomonadota; Gammaproteobacteria; Moraxellales; Moraxellaceae. The record is from RNAcentral.
AGUGCAUGUGGUGGAUGCCUUGGCAGUCAGAGGCGAAGAAAGACGUGAUAGCCUGCGAAAAGCUCCGGGGAGGCGGCAAAUAUCCUUUGAUCCGGAGAUGUCUGAAUGGGGGAACCCACCUACCUUAAGGUAGGUAUUGCAACAUGAAUACAUAGUGUUGCAAGGCGAACGAGGGGAAGUGAAACAUCUCAGUACCCUUAGGAAAAGAAAUCAAUUGAGAUUCCCUCAGUAGCGGCGAGCGAAAGGGGAAAAGCCCAUUAAGUUAUGUGUGUUUUAGUGGAAUGCUCUGGGAAGUGCAACCAUAGUGGGUGAUAGUCCUGUACACGAAAGGGCACACAUAAUGAUGACGAGUAGGGCGAGGCACGUGAAACCUUGUCUGAAUAUGGGGGGACCAUCCUCCAAGGCUAAAUACUCCUGACUGACCGAUAGUGAACCAGUACCGUGAGGGAAAGGCGAAAAGAACCCCUGUGAGGGGAGUGAAAUAGAUCCUGAAACCGCAUGCAUACAAGCAGUGGGAGCCGACUUGUUCGGUGACUGCGUACCUUUUGUAUAAUGGGUCAGCGACUUAUAUUCAGUAGCGAGGUUAACCGAAUAGGGGAGCCGUAGAGAAAUCGAGUCUUAAUAGGGCGUAUAGUUGCUGGGUAUAGACCCGAAACCGGGUGAUCUAUCCAUGAGCAGGUUGAAGGUUGGGUAACACUAACUGGAGGACCGAACCCACUGUCGUUGAAAAGCCAGGGGAUGACUUGUGGAUAGGGGUGAAAGGCUAAUCAAACUCGGUGAUAGCUGGUUCUCCCCGAAAGCUAUUUAGGUAGCGCCUCGGACGAAUACCAUUGGGGGUAGAGCACUGUUUCGGCUAGGGGGUCAUCCCGACUUACCAAACCGAUGCAAACUCCGAAUACCAAUGAGUACUAUCCGGGAGACAGACUGCGGGUGCUAACGUCCGUAGUCAAGAGGAAAACAAUCCAGACCGCCAGCUAAGGCCCCAAAAUCAUAGUUAAGUGGGAAACGAUGUGGGAAGGCAUAGACAGCUAGGAGGUUGGCUUAGAAGCAGCCACCCUUUAAAGAAAGCGUAAUAGCUCACUAGUCGAGUCGGCCUGCGCGGAAGAUGUAACGGGGCUAAAACUAUGUGCCGAAGCUGCGGAUGCAUAAUUUAUUAUGCGUGGUAGGGGAGCGUUCUGUAAGCCGAAGAAGGUGUAUUGAGAAGUAUGCUGGAGGUAUCAGAAGUGCGAAUGCUGACGUGAGUAACGACAAAACGGGUGAAAAACCCGUUCGCUGAAAGACCAAGGGUUCCAGUCCAACGUUAAUCGGGGCUGGGUGAGUCGACCCCUAAGGCGAGGCCGAGAGGCGUAGUCGAUGGGAAAUUGGUUAAUAUUCCAAUACUUCAGUGUAAUGCGAUGAGAGGACGGAGAAGGUUAAGUCAGCCUGGCGUUGGUAGUCCAGGUGAAAGGAAGUAGGCAUGCAUCUUAGGCAAAUCCGGGGUGCUCUAUGCUGAGAUCUGAUAGCAAGCUGUACUUGUACAGUGAAGUGGCUGAUACCCUGCUUCCAGGAAAAGUCUCUAAGCUUCAGUUACACUGGAAUCGUACCCGAAACCGACACAGGUGGUCAGGUCGAGUAGACCAAAGCGCUUGAGAGAACUCUGCUGAAGGAACUAGGCAAAAUGGUACCGUAACUUCGGGAGAAGGUACGCUGUUGACGGUGAUGGGACUUGCUCCCUGAGCGGUUGACAGCCUCAGAAACCAGGCCGCUGCAACUGUUUAUUAAAAACAUAGCACUCUGCAAACACGAAAGUGGACGUAUAGGGUGUGAUGCCUGCCCGGUGCUGGAAGGUUAAUUGAUGGGGUUAGCGUAAGCGAAGCUCUUGAUCGAAGCCCCAGUAAACGGCGGCCGUAACUAUAACGGUCCUAAGGUAGCGAAAUUCCUUGUCGGGUAAGUUCCGACCUGCACGAAUGGCAUAAUGAUGGCGGCGCUGUCUCCAGCAGAGGCUCAGUGAAAUCGAAUUCGCCGUGAAGAUGCGGUGUACCCGCGGCUAGACGGAAAGACCCCGUGAACCUUUACUG